AGACCCGAAACCCGGUGAUCUAGCCAUGGGCAGGUUGAAGGUUGGGUAACACUAACUGGAGGACCGAACCGACUAAUGUUGAAAAAUUAGCGGAUGACCUGUGGCUGGGGGUGAAAGGCCAAUCAAACCGGGAGAUAGCUGGUUCUCCCCGAAAGCUAUUUAGGUAGCGCCUCGUGAAUUCAUCUCCGGGGGUAGAGCACUGUUUCGGCUAGGGGGCCAUCCCGGCUUACCAACCCGAUGCAAACUGCGAAUACCGGAGAAUGUUAUCACGGGAGACACACGGCGGGUGCUAACGUCCGUCGUGAAGAGGGAAACAACCCAGACCGCCAGCUAAGGUCCCAAAGUCAUGGUUAAGUGGGAAACGAUGUGGGAAGGCCCAGACAGCCAGGAUGUUGGCUUAGAAGCAGCCAUCAUUUAAAGAAAGCGUAAUAGCUCACUGGUCGAGUCGGCCUGCGCGGAAGAUGUAACGGGGCUAAACCAUGCACCGAAGCUGCGGCAGCGAACGUAUCACUUAAAGCGAUUCAGCGGGUUACGAUUGACGAAGCGAAGCGACGUCAAAGCGUAUACAAAGUCGAGUCGGUUUAAGGAUACGUU
RNAcentral lists this ribosomal RNA (594 nucleotides) under Salmonella enterica subsp. enterica serovar Okatie. RNAcentral's name for it is "partial 23S ribosomal RNA". It matches the Rfam family "Bacterial large subunit ribosomal RNA", at positions 711 to 1289 of the family's 2925-position model. The record is from RNAcentral. Lineage: Bacteria; Pseudomonadati; Pseudomonadota; Gammaproteobacteria; Enterobacterales; Enterobacteriaceae.